GAAAUGCGAUAAGUAAUGUGAAUUGCAGAAUUCAGUGAAUCAUCGAAUCUUUGAACGCACCUUGCGCUCCUUGGUAUUCCGAGGAGCAUGCCUGUUUGAGUGUCAUUAAAUUCUCAAUCUCAACAUUCUUGUAAUGUUUGUAGAUUGGAUGUGGGGGUUUAUGUGGGGUCUUGCAAAAGUUCCACUCCCCUAAAAUGUAUUAGCUGGAAUGCCUUUGCAAACCAACUAUCAGUAUGAUAAUUAUCUAUGCUGGAGUUGAUGCGAUAGGGAAUCUGCUUCUCAACCGUCUUUAUAAGACAAUUUGAAACAUUUUGACCUCAAAUCAGGUAGGACUACCCGCUGAACUUAA
RNAcentral lists this unclassified non-coding RNA (349 nucleotides) under Conocybe macrospora. Its description in RNAcentral is "sequence contains ITS1". The stretch from base 1 to 105 matches the Rfam family "5.8S ribosomal RNA", at positions 50 to 154 of the family's 154-position model. Lineage: Eukaryota; Fungi; Basidiomycota; Agaricomycetes; Agaricales; Bolbitiaceae. The record is from RNAcentral.